This 253-nucleotide ribosomal RNA is filed under the name uncultured bacterium. Its description in RNAcentral is "partial 16S ribosomal RNA". It matches the Rfam family "Bacterial small subunit ribosomal RNA", at positions 524 to 776 of the family's 1533-position model. The record is from RNAcentral.
UACGUAGGGGGCAAGCGUUAUCCGGAUUUACUGGGUGUAAAGGGAGCGUAGACGGCCAUUCAAGCCAGAUGUGAAAGCCCGGGGCUCAACCCCGGGACUGCAUUUGGAUCUGUAUGGCUGGAGUGUCGGAGAGGCAGGCGGAAUUCCUAGUGUAGCGGUGAAAUGCGUAGAUAUUAGGAGGAACACCAGUGGCGAAGGCGGCCUGCUGGACGAUGACUGACGUUGAGGCUCGAAAGCGUGGGGAGCAAACAGG